Molecule: ribosomal RNA, 375 nt
Filed under: uncultured bacterium
Lineage: Bacteria
Description: bacterial SSU rRNA
Rfam family: Bacterial small subunit ribosomal RNA
Source: RNAcentral
GACGAACGCUGGCGGCGUGCUUAACACAUGCAAGUCGAGCGGUAAGGCCCUUUCGGGGGUACACGAGCGGCGAACGGGUGAGUAACACGUGGGUGACCUGCCCUCAGCUCUGGGAUAAGCCUGGGAAACCGGGUCUAAUACCGGAUAUGACUCCAUGACGCAUGUUGUGGGGUGGAAAGCCUUGUGCGGCUGAGGAUGGGCCCGCGGCCUAUCAGCUUGUUGGUGGGGUGAUGGCCUACCAAGGCGACGACGGGUAGCCGGCCUGAGAGGGCGACCGGCCACACUGGGACUGAGACACGGCCCAGACUCCUACGGGNGGCAGCAGUGGGGAAUCUUGCGCAAUGGGCGAAAGCCUGACGCAGCGACGCCGCGUGA